This 304-nucleotide long non-coding RNA is filed under the name Elaeis guineensis (African oil palm). RNAcentral's name for it is "long non-coding RNA (EGUI_LNC040170)". The record is from RNAcentral. Lineage: Eukaryota; Viridiplantae; Streptophyta; Magnoliopsida; Arecales; Arecaceae.
CAUUCAGAACCUACGUGAAUAUGGUUACCGUAUAAUUCAUCCCUUUUGACCCCUGUGUUUAGGACGACUCAGGGUUAAACUGUCAACCCUGAUGAGAUCAUCCGAAUCGUGCUCAACUCAAUUAGUCCUGUGACUCCUCAUUAGGACUAUCCUGGCCAAGAUUUUGCUAAAUUGAAACACGACUGUACACAGCUCCUAAACUGGAGUGGUCAAUCCCAUCUUGACACAUGCACCGACAAGUCAAGUACUUGACCACACCCAGCAGCCUUCCGUCACUGAAUUAGAAAUUCAGAUAGUCCAGUGC